CAGCACCUCAAGUGGUCAGGAUGAUUAUUGGGCCUAAAGCAUCCGUAGCCGGCUCUGUAAGUUUUCGGUUAAAUCUGUAUGCUCAACAUAUAGGCUGCCGGGAAUACUGCAGAGCUAGGGAGUGGGAGAGGUAGACGGUACUCGGUAGGAAGGGGUAAAAUCCUUUGAUCUAUUGAUGACCACCUGUGGCGAAGGCGGUCUAUCAGAACACGUCCGACGGUGAGGGAUGAAAGCUGGGGGAGCAAACCGGAUUAGAUACCCGAGUAGUCC
RNAcentral lists this ribosomal RNA (270 nucleotides) under uncultured archaeon. RNAcentral describes it as "partial 16S ribosomal RNA". It matches the Rfam family "Archaeal small subunit ribosomal RNA", at positions 477 to 747 of the family's 1478-position model. The record is from RNAcentral.